Molecule: ribosomal RNA, 525 nt
Filed under: Thrinchus schrenkii
Lineage: Eukaryota; Metazoa; Arthropoda; Insecta; Orthoptera; Pamphagidae
Description: partial 16S ribosomal RNA
Rfam family: Archaeal large subunit ribosomal RNA
Source: RNAcentral
AAAACAUGGUUCGUUCUCCUCUGACCUGCUCACUGACUUGUUUUGAAGAGCCGCGGUAUUUUGACCGUGCAAAGGUAGCAUAAUCAUUAGUUUCUUAAUUGGAGGCUGGAAUGAAUGGUUUGACGAGGAGUUGACUGUCUCUAUUUAAUAUCUAGAAUUUAACUUUUGAGUUAAAAGGCUCAAAUUUUUCUUUAGGACGAGAAGACCCUAUAGAGCUUGAUAUAUUAUUUUUAUAUAGUUUUUAGUUUGUUUUCCUAUAUUUAAUUUAAUAUAUUUUGUUGGGGUGACAUGAAGGAUAAUUAAACCCUUCAUUAUUAAAUCAUUGAUUUAUGUUAUUUUGAUCCAUAAUUUAUGAUCAUAAGAUUAAGUUACCUUAGGGAUAACAGCGUAAUUGUUUUAGAGAGCUCAAAUCGACAAAGCAGAUUGCGACCUCGAUGUUGGAUUAAGAAAAAUGCUAGGUGCAGUAGCUUAGUAAUUAGGUCUGUUCGACCUUUAAAUUCUUACGUGAUCUGAGUUCAGACCGGA